GAGUUUAGCAGAGCAUGGGACUCUUAAUCUCAAGGUUGUGGGUUCGAGCCCCACGUUGGGCA
RNAcentral lists this transfer RNA (62 nucleotides) under Podarcis lilfordi (Lilford's wall lizard). Its description in RNAcentral is "tRNA.Lys". It matches the Rfam family "tRNA". Rfam says of the family: Transfer RNA (tRNA) molecules are approximately 80 nucleotides in length. Their secondary structure includes four short double-helical elements and three loops (D, anti-codon, and T loops). Lineage: Eukaryota; Metazoa; Chordata; Lepidosauria; Squamata; Lacertidae. The record is from RNAcentral.